CCGUGGCCUGGUUAGUGGUUACCACGAUGAGGUUCCAAUAGUCCACGGUAAGAUUUCGAAAAUCGCUUAUGUACCACGAAAUAUUCAUGGAUUCAGUUUUGAGAUUGGAUCCAAAUUUCGCUCAAGGGGAUCCACUGACACACGCGCAGAGGAGCGGCCGGUCUGCGUCCAUCCAGCCAUAAUGCGAGGCGGGGUCCGGCCAAGACGAGGCUCGCGCUGUGAUCGACCAGAGGCGCGGGUCCGGCUUCAGUCGAUGCGCUCGAGGUGUCGUGGUGAAACGACUCCGUCUACUCUUCGCCCAGUCGCCUCCCUUCUCCAACCUCCCCAGCUCGUUCUCAUGUCUUUCUUCAGGCAGGUGAGAUCCGGGUUCCCCUUCUUGUCUCUUAGAUUUUUUUAUGUUGCCGUGAUACGUUGGCUAGGUGUACAGGUUGCUCACCUGGUCUUCCCUUGAUUUCUUCAGCCAAGUGAGCUCUUGUUGUACCUGCCGCACAGUGUUCGUACAAAACAAGCGGCACAUUUAAGCGAGCUAGGGGCGAGUCAGUGUCAAAACGUGUCAAUCAAGGCCUAGCAGUUUUUCUGAACUUUGCCACUUCAUAACGUGCUGAACCCUUCUCCUUGUGUUCAGAGUACUGACAAAACUCCUACUGGAAACAUGACGAUGGCGAACCCCGAUUUCAGAAGAACUAUAGAAAGAAAGUGUUGAGCAUAAAAAUGUGAUCUACUAUAGUGGUGAUGUUUCUUUUCUUAUAGUGUGGGCAAUAUUCUUUUUAUUCCUUAUGAACAUAAUGUAGUGCUAAUGUCAGGAGCAUGCAUGUACAAAUUAUAUCAUAAUAUACUCUUUAUAUUGCAUUUUCAGUUUAGUUCUUACCUGUGUGUUUUUCACAGUUUCAGUGAAAGCUUGAUGAUGUUGCGCCCUCGAGUGCUGGUGAUUGCCAUGCAUCCUCUAAAUCAACUAAAAUUUCUAUUGAUUUUGUAGCUAAUGUAGUGGUAACUCUUCUGAUCGCUUUCAUAUAAUUAAAUUUGCAAUGUACGACCAAGUGCUCCUUCAUUUGCCUUCUAUAAUCAUUAUUAUGUUUUAGAAUCAUGCUCCAGUUUAUAAGAUGUUAGAAAAAUCUUGAUAGGUGCUUGGCUCAGAGGCCUUCGUACAGGUGCCAUCUGCACAUGCUUCGCUUGAUUGCAGCGGUUGGAACUCUGAGAUAACCCAACAAAUAAUCAAAUUUGAGUAUGUGAAAUGAAGCAGAAAUUAAGUGUACCACUGAUAAUAUAAAUGUCCAUUUAUGCUUAUGUAAAGAUAUUCUUAUUAUUCUACCGCAUUCCACUCUACGUAGGAAAUCCCAUUUAUGGUAUUAGUAUAUCAGUUACUACUUGAUUUCCUAACUAAGUGAAAUCCUUGUUAGCAUUCUUCUCCUUGAGUGUGGCACACUCCACACAUGAAAUGUCUAGGCACCGGGCCCGCCUAAUUCUUCUUUGUUGCGGAACAUGGAGCCCCUUUCGGUAGAGAGGCACAUGAACAUUUCAUUAAUGCACCAUGUAUACAAUCUGUAAUGACAAUUUAUGUCUCCUCUUGCAUGUUUAUUUUUGCUGUGGCUUAUUAUCUGUCUUGGCACUAUGGAUUGGUUUUAUUUACUGAAUACAUGGAUGUAUAUGUUGUCAUAUCAAGCCAAUUUGUGUAGGUAAACCUUACUUUUUAUCUUAGUAUAUAUGAGAUCUUCAUUAAUUAUUGACUAAUAUAAGGUUAUGUUUUAG
Molecule: long non-coding RNA, 1746 nt
Filed under: Triticum aestivum (bread wheat)
Lineage: Eukaryota; Viridiplantae; Streptophyta; Magnoliopsida; Poales; Poaceae
Description: long non-coding RNA (TAES_LNC002876)
Source: RNAcentral